This 403-nucleotide ribosomal RNA is filed under the name uncultured bacterium. RNAcentral's name for it is "partial 16S ribosomal RNA". It matches the Rfam family "Bacterial small subunit ribosomal RNA", at positions 28 to 526 of the family's 1533-position model. The record is from RNAcentral.
GACGAACGCUGGCGGCGUGCCUAAUACAUGCAAGUCGAACGCAGUGGGGACGGGUGAGUAACACGUUGGUAACCUCCCAUCAGAGGAGAUAACACUUGGACACAGAUGCUAACCCUCUACUGGUGGAUGGGCCCGCGGUGCAUUAGCUAGUUGGUGAGGUAACGGCUCCACAAGGCCACGAUGCAUAGCGGACCUGAGAGUGGAGUCGGCAACACUGUGACGAAGACAGGGCCCAGACUCUUACGGGAGGAAGAAGGAGGGAAUUUUCGGCAAUGGACGAAAGUCUGACCGAGCAAUGCGGGGUGAGUGAAGAAGGUUUUCGGAUCUUAAAAUUCUGUUGUUAGAGAAGCGGUACCUAACCAGAAAGCCACGGCUAACUACGUGCCAGCAGCCGCGGUAAUAC